RNAcentral lists this ribosomal RNA (975 nucleotides) under Acinetobacter sp. NF255. Its description in RNAcentral is "bacterial SSU rRNA". It matches the Rfam family "Bacterial small subunit ribosomal RNA", at positions 64 to 1030 of the family's 1533-position model. Lineage: Bacteria; Pseudomonadati; Pseudomonadota; Gammaproteobacteria; Moraxellales; Moraxellaceae. The record is from RNAcentral.
GAGCGGAGAAGAGUGUGCUUGCACCUUAUACUUAGCGGCGGACGGGUGAGUAAUGCUUAGGAAUCUGCCUAUUAGUGGGGGACAACAUUCCGAAAGGGAUGCUAAUACCGCAUACGUCCUACGGGAGAAAGCAGGGGAUCUUCGGACCUUGCGCUAAUAGAUGAGCCUAAGUCGGAUUAGCUAGUUGGUGGGGUAAAGGCCUACCAAGGCGACGAUCUGUAGCGGGUCUGAGAGGAUGAUCCGCCACACUGGGACUGAGACACGGCCCAGACUCCUACGGGAGGCAGCAGUGGGGAAUAUUGGACAAUGGGGGGAACCCUGAUCCAGCCAUGCCGCGUGUGUGAAGAAGGCCUUAUGGUUGUAAAGCACUUUAAGCGAGGAGGAGGCUACUGAGACUAAUACUCUUGGAUAGUGGACGUUACUCGCAGAAUAAGCACCGGCUAACUCUGUGCCAGCAGCCGCGGUAAUACAGAGGGUGCGAGCGUUAAUCGGAUUUACUGGGCGUAAAGCGUGCGUAGGCGGCUUUUUAAGUCGGAUGUGAAAUCCCCGAGCUUAACUUGGGAAUUGCAUUCGAUACUGGGAAGCUAGAGUAUGGGAGAGGAUGGUAGAAUUCCAGGUGUAGCGGUGAAAUGCGUAGAGAUCUGGAGGAAUACCGAUGGCGAAGGCAGCCAUCUGGCCUAAUACUGACGCUGAGGUACGAAAGCAUGGGGAGCAAACAGGAUUAGAUACCCUGGUAGUCCAUGCCGUAAACGAUGUCUACUAGCCGUUGGGGCCUUUGAGGCUUUAGUGGCGCAGCUAACGCGAUAAGUAGACCGCCUGGGGAGUACGGUCGCAAGACUAAAACUCAAAUGAAUUGACGGGGGCCCGCACAAGCGGUGGAGCAUGUGGUUUAAUUCGAUGCAACGCGAAGAACCUUACCUGGCCUUGACAUACUAGAAACUUUCCAGAGAAGGAAUUGGUGCCUUCGGGAAUCUA